GGGCUUAUACAUGCUAGUCCAGCGGGGGACGUACUUGCUACUGGACCUACGGCGGACGGGUGAUAAUGCUUAGAAUCUGCCUAUUAUGGGGGACAACAUCUCGAAAGGGAUGCUAAUACCGCAUACGUCCUACGGGAGAAAGCAGGGGAUCUUCGGACCUUGCGCUAAUAGAUGAGCCUAA
RNAcentral lists this ribosomal RNA (181 nucleotides) under Acinetobacter baumannii. RNAcentral's name for it is "partial 16S ribosomal RNA". Lineage: Bacteria; Pseudomonadati; Pseudomonadota; Gammaproteobacteria; Moraxellales; Moraxellaceae. The record is from RNAcentral.